RNAcentral lists this transfer RNA (77 nucleotides) under Armatimonadota bacterium. RNAcentral describes it as "Armatimonadetes bacterium (freshwater metagenome) tRNA-Gly". It matches the Rfam family "tRNA". From Rfam's summary of the family: Transfer RNA (tRNA) molecules are approximately 80 nucleotides in length. Their secondary structure includes four short double-helical elements and three loops (D, anti-codon, and T loops). The record is from RNAcentral. Lineage: Bacteria; Bacillati; Armatimonadota.
GCGGAGGUAGCUCAGACUGGUAGAGCGUCAGCCUUCCAAGCUGAGGGCCGCGGGUUCGAAUCCCGUCCUCCGCUCCA